GGCGACGUAGCCAAGUGGCUAAGGCGGGGGUCUGCAAAACCCUUAUUCCCCGGUUCGAGUCCGGGCGUCGCCUCCA
This 76-nucleotide transfer RNA is filed under the name Candidatus Handelsmanbacteria bacterium RIFCSPLOWO2_12_FULL_64_10. RNAcentral's name for it is "tRNA-Cys". It matches the Rfam family "tRNA". From Rfam's summary of the family: Transfer RNA (tRNA) molecules are approximately 80 nucleotides in length. Their secondary structure includes four short double-helical elements and three loops (D, anti-codon, and T loops). The record is from RNAcentral. Lineage: Bacteria; Candidatus Handelsmaniibacteriota.